AGAACGAACGUUAGCGGCGCGCCUAACACAUGCAAGUCGAGCGAGAAAGGGGCAACCCCGGUAAAGCGGCGCACGGGUGAGUAACACGUAGGUAAUCUACCCUCGGGUGGAGGAUAACCUUCCGAAAGGAGGGCUAAUACUGCAUGAGACCACGACCUCGAAAGGGGAUGGGGUCAAAGCCGGCCACUUUACAAAAGCUGGCGCCUGAGGUUGAGCCUGCGGCCCAUCAGCUAGUUGGUAGGGUAACGGCCUACCAAGGCGAAGACGGGUAGCUGGUCUGAGAGGAUGAUCAGCCACACUGGAACUGAGACACGGUCCAGACUCCUACGGGAGGCAGCAGUGGGGAAUCUUGCGCAAUGGGCGAAAGCCUGACGCAGCGACGCCGCGUGAGUGAUGAAGGCCUUCGGGUUGUAAAGCUCUGUGGGCGGGGACGAAGUAAGGGUUGGCUAAUAUCCAACCUGAUGACGGUACCCGUUUAGCAAGCACCGGCUAACUCUGCGCCAGCAGCCGCGGUAA
RNAcentral lists this ribosomal RNA (516 nucleotides) under uncultured bacterium. RNAcentral describes it as "SSU rRNA". It matches the Rfam family "Bacterial small subunit ribosomal RNA", at positions 26 to 523 of the family's 1533-position model. The record is from RNAcentral.